AAUCUAAGGUAACUAAUUUAACCACCCAUCUUCCAAGGAUCGUAGCGUCAUGAAAAUUGGCAGCUGUAUGUAGUUCUGAUGACAAUACAAUAAUAUGGUACUGUCGAACUGAUCUGAUGAUGGAGCUGGAAGAUAUGAACUGGAACUUCAUCGACCUGUACCUAACUAUGUAACGGAAUCUAAGGUAACUAAUUUAACCAUCUUCCAAGGAUCGUAGCGUCAUGAAAAUUGGCAGCUGUAUGUAGUUCUGAUGACAAUACAAUAAUAUGGUACUCCGGAAGAUAUGAACUGGAACUUCAUGAUGGAAUAUCGUAUCAUAGCUGUGUUUGGAUUUGUUAGAAAAGUCUUGUAAUGAACUUUGACCACGAUUAGGUUUCAAGGUCUGAUGAUGAAGCCGGAAGACAGGCACUGGCAUUCCAUGAUGGAAUAUCGUAUCAUAGUCGUGUUU
Cydia strobilella is the source of this 448-nucleotide long non-coding RNA. RefSeq lists it as uncharacterized. The transcript has 2 exons. The record is from RefSeq and is a predicted model, not a curated record. Lineage: Eukaryota; Metazoa; Arthropoda; Insecta; Lepidoptera; Tortricidae.